AGCUGGAUCAUUUUUCCGAUCACAAAAACUCGAAAAAAAUCCACUUCUGUUUGUGCAAAAGAAAAAAGAGGGACGCGUCAUUGCAAAACUCUUUUUUCGUGCGCGCAAGCAACUCUCAAAAACAAAAGCGCAGCAAAGACCUCCUCUUUCUCUUCCCCCUUCGGGGGGUGUUUUUGAGGAGCAAUCUUCCCUGCUCUACCUCAAAACAAAAAAACGCCGCCGUGCGCGGUGUUGGGUAGAACCUAAAACGUGUCGCGAUGGAUGACUUGGCUUCCCAUAUCUGUGAAGAACGCAGCAAAGUGCGAUAAGUGGUAUGAAUUGCAGAAUCUCUCCAUUACUUAAUCUUUGAACGCAAAAGGCGCUCGGGAGAAGCCCCUCGUGGGUCAUCCCCGUGCAUGCCGUAUUGCUCAGUGUCGAAAAACAACAAACAAAAACCCGCUCGUCAAAAAAGCGGGGGUUCUUUCUCGCAAAGAAAUGGUUUCUCGAAGUUGACGCCGCGCCCGCGGCGAAAAUUUACGUUUUCGUCGCGUGUGCAUGCCGUCAAUUCGGGGAUUGGGUGUUCCUUUUGUUGGAAACGACAAGAAUAAAGCAACCAAUCAGCCAAAAACUUUCAGAUACCAACCAACGUUUGAUCAAAAAAACAACCAAAAAAUUUACUGACCUGAGUGCGGCAGGACGACCCGCUAAACUUAAGCAUAUUGCUCAGCGGAGGAAAAGAAAACAACCGUGAUUCCCUUAGUGAGCGGCGAGCGAACAGGGAUCCAACUCGAUGCCGAAUCGGGCUUUACAGAGCCUUGAGUUGUGGCACGACUGCCCCGUGACUGGUCAAGGGAGUGGCAAAAUUCAAUGUGCAAAGCAAACCCAUUGUUGAAUGCAACCCUUCAUGUGAGUAUUGAGCCAUAGGAGGUGAAAGCCCAUUCCAGCCACUGUUACCCUAAGCCUCAUUGGGUGGUUAUAAGCGAGUAGCACUGCUUGGGAAUGCAGUGUCAAGCGGCAGGUAUGUGUCUGCCAAAGUUAAAUACAAAAUGGGAAGACCGAUAGCAAACAAGUAGCGUGAGCGAAAGUUUGAAAAGCACUUUGGAAAGAGAGUGACAUAGAACCUGAAGUCGUGACAAUGACAAUGAAAGUGCCUCCAUUUUUGUCAAGGCCGGCCCUGCAGCAUUAUCUGGUGUUCCUCCUUCGGGCGCCAACGCCAGGCAAACAAAUGUUGAAAGGGGACCGGAGCAAAGAGCCGAGGUAAAGGUAGGAGUUUUGGCUUGCCAAUGAACCCGUCCUUCUCGGUAGACUCAGCGACUUGACGCUCUGGAAAUGGGGUACCUUCACCCGUCUUGAAACACGGACCAAGGAGUCAAACAGACACGCAAGAGGGAAGAUAUUGUUGCCAGUACUUCUCUCGAACUGAAAGGGAUGCUUUUUGCAUUGGUGUGCACACAAGAACUGCCCAACACCGACCGCCCUUCUUUUAGGAUGAGUCUGAGUGUGCCUGUUUGGACCCGAAAGGUGGUGAACUAUGCCUGAACAAGGUGAAGUCCGGGGAAACUCGGAUGGAGGCCUGUAGCGGUGCUGACGUGCAAAUCGCUCGCAUGAUUUGGGUAUCGGAGCGAAAGACUCAUCGAACCACCUAGUAGCUGGUUCACAU
RNAcentral lists this unclassified non-coding RNA (1639 nucleotides) under uncultured fungus. RNAcentral describes it as "sequence contains 18S rRNA gene, ITS1, 5.8S rRNA gene, ITS2, 28S rRNA gene". The stretch from base 658 to 1639 matches the Rfam family "Eukaryotic large subunit ribosomal RNA", at positions 1 to 961 of the family's 3401-position model. The record is from RNAcentral. Lineage: Eukaryota; Fungi.